AUUGAACGCUGGCGGCAUGCCUUACACAUGCAAGUCGAACGGCAGCACGGGAGCAAUCCUGGUGGCGAGUGGCGAACGGGUGAGUAAUAUAUCGGAACGUGCCCAGUCGUGGGGGAUAACGUAGCGAAAGCUACGCUAAUACCACAUACGAUCUAUGGAUGAAAGCGGGGGAUCGCAAGACCUCGCGCGAUUGGAGCGGCCGAUAUCAGAUUAGGUAGUUGGUGAGGUAAAGGCUCACCAAGCCGACGAUCUGUAGCUGGUCUGAGAGGACGACCAGCCACACUGGGACUGAGACACGGCCCAGACUCCUACGGGAGGCAGCAGUGGGGAAUUUUUGGACAAUGGGCGGCAAGCCUGAUCCAGCAAUGCCGCGUGCAGGAUGAA
Molecule: ribosomal RNA, 384 nt
Filed under: uncultured bacterium
Lineage: Bacteria
Description: bacterial SSU rRNA
Rfam family: Bacterial small subunit ribosomal RNA
Source: RNAcentral